RNAcentral lists this ribosomal RNA (492 nucleotides) under uncultured bacterium. RNAcentral describes it as "partial 16S ribosomal RNA". It matches the Rfam family "Bacterial small subunit ribosomal RNA", at positions 29 to 507 of the family's 1533-position model. The record is from RNAcentral.
AUUGAACGCUGGCGGCAUGCUUUACACAUGCAAGUCGAACGGUAACAGGCCUUAGGGUGCUGACGAGUGGCGAACGGGUGAGUAAUGCAUCGGAACGUACCCAGAGGUGGGGGAUAACGCAGCGAAAGCUGUGCUAAUACCGCAUGUGAUCUGAGGAUGACAGCGGGGGACCGAGCAGCAAUGUUUGGCCUCGCGCCUUUGGAGCGGCCGAUGUCGGAUUAGCUAGUUGGUGGGGUAAAGGCCUACCAAGGCGACGAUCCGUAGCUGGUCUGAGAGGACGACCAGCCACACUGGGACUGAGACACGGCCCAGACUCCUACGGGAGGCAGCAGUGGGGAAUUUUGGACAAUGGGGGCAAGCCUGAUCCAGCAAUGCCGCGUGCGGGAAGAAGGCCUUCGGGUUGUAAACCGCUUUUGGCAGGAACGAAACGGUGUCCGCUAAUACCGGGCGCUAAUGACGGUACCUGCAGAAUAAGCACCGGCUAACUACGUG